AGUCGAGGGGCAUCAGCUUAUAGCAAUAUAGGGCUGGCGACCGGCAAACGGGUGCGGAACACGUACACAACCUUCCUUUAAGAGGGGGAUAGCCCAUAGAAAUGUGGAUUAAUACCCCGUAAGAUAGUGGGAUGGCAUCAUACUACUAUUAUAGUUACGACGCUUGAAGAUGGGUGUGCGUCUGAUUAGGUAGUUGGCGGGGUAAAGGCCCACCAAGCCUUCGAUCAGUAGCUGAUGUGAGAGCAUGAUCAGCCACACGGGCACUGAGACACGGGCCCGACUCCUACGGGAGGCAGCAGUAAGGAAUAUUGGUCAAUGGACGCAAGUCUGAACCAGCCAUGCCGCGUGAAGGAUGAAGGUCCUCUGGAUUGUAAACUUCUUUUACAGGGGGCGAAAAAAGGGAAAUCUUUCUCACUUGACAGUACCCUAUGAAUAAGCACCGGCUAACUCCGUGCCAGCAGCCGCGGUAAUACGGAGGGUGCAAGCGUUAUCCGGAUUCACUGGGUUUAAAGGGUGCGUAGGCGGGCGUAUAAGUCAGUGGUGAAAUCCUGGAGCUUAACUCCAGAACUGCCAUUGAUACUAUAUGUCUUGAAUAUGGUGGAGGUAAGCGGAAUAUGUCAUGUAGCGGUGAAAUGCAUAGAUAUGACAUAGAACACCUAUUGCGAAGGCAGCUUACUACGCCUAUAUUGACGCUGAGGCACGAAAGCGUGGGGAUCAAACAGGAUUAGAUACCCUGGUGGUCCACGCCCUAAACGAUGAUUACUCGACGUGUGCGAUAAACGGUACGCGUCUGAGCGAAAGCAUUAAGUAAUNNNCCUGGGAAGUACGACCGCAAGGUUGAAACUCAAAGGAAUUGGNNNNNNUCCGCACAAGCGGUGNNNCAUGUGGUUUAAUUCGA
Molecule: ribosomal RNA, 898 nt
Filed under: uncultured bacterium
Lineage: Bacteria
Description: bacterial SSU rRNA
Rfam family: Bacterial small subunit ribosomal RNA
Source: RNAcentral